RNAcentral lists this unclassified non-coding RNA (348 nucleotides) under soil metagenome. Its description in RNAcentral is "partial contains 5.8S ribosomal RNA, internal transcribed spacer 2, and large subunit ribosomal RNA". The stretch from base 1 to 120 matches the Rfam family "5.8S ribosomal RNA", at positions 35 to 154 of the family's 154-position model. The record is from RNAcentral.
GAUGAAGAACGUAGCGAAAUGCGAAAAGUAAUGUGAAUUGCAGAAUUCAGUGAACCAUCGAAUCUUUGAACGCACAUUGCGCCCGCUGGAACUCCGGCGGGCACGCCUGUCCGAGCGUCAUUUCAACCCUCAGGCCCCCCUUCGCGGGCGGGCCUGGUGUUGGGGCCCGGCCGCUACCCUGCGGCCGUCCCCUAAAUUCAGUGGCGGCCUCGCCGUGAUCCCUUGCGUAGUAAUGCACCUCGCACCGGAGAGCGCCGUGGCCACGCCGUAAAACCCCCAAUUUUCAAUGGUUGACCUCGGAUCAGGUGGGAAUACCAGCUGAACUUAAGCAUAUCAAUAAGCGGAGGA